This 477-nucleotide ribosomal RNA is filed under the name uncultured anaerobic ammonium-oxidizing bacterium. RNAcentral's name for it is "bacterial SSU rRNA". It matches the Rfam family "Bacterial small subunit ribosomal RNA", at positions 365 to 832 of the family's 1533-position model. The record is from RNAcentral.
UUCGCAAUGCCCGAAAGGGUGACGAUGCGACGCCGCGUGAGCGAAGAAGGCCCUAGGGUUGUAAAGCUCUGUCGAGGGUUAUGAAAUAUAGAUGGGUUAAUACCCCAUUUAUUUGACAAAAGCCCAAAAGGAAGCCACGGCUAACUCUGUGCCAGCAGCCGCGGUAAUACAGAGGUGGCGAGCGUUGUUCGGUAUUAUUGGGCGUAAAGAGCACGUAGGUGGUUUUGUAAGUCAGGUGUGAAAGCCUUCUGUUCAAAGGAAGAACGGCAUCUGAAACUGCAGAUCUUGAGUGUAGGAGGGGAGAGUGGAACUUCUGGUAGAGCGGUGAAAUGCGUAGAUAUCAGAAGGAACGUCGGCGGCGAAAGCGACUCUCUGGCCUAUUACUGACACUGAGUGUGCGAAAGUUAGGGGAGCAAACGGGAUUAGAUACCCCGGUAGUCCUAACCGUAAACGAUGGGCACUAAGUAGAGGGGUUUU